RNAcentral lists this ribosomal RNA (468 nucleotides) under uncultured bacterium. RNAcentral's name for it is "partial 16S ribosomal RNA". It matches the Rfam family "Bacterial small subunit ribosomal RNA", at positions 28 to 507 of the family's 1533-position model. The record is from RNAcentral.
GACGAACGCUGGCGGCGUGCUUAACACAUGCAAGUCGAACGGAAAGGCCCUGCUUUUGUGGGGUGCUCGAGUGGCGAACGGGUGAGUAACACGUGUGUAACCUGCCCUUGACUUUGGGGUAACUUCAGGAAAAUGGGGCUAAUAUCGGAUAGGAGAUCCUGCUGCAUGGUGGGGGUUGGUGAAUUUCGGUGGUUGGGGAUGGUCUGGCUGGUUAUCAGCUUGUUUGUGUGGUAGUGAAUUACCAAGGCUUUGACGGGUAGCCGGCCUGAGAGGGUGACCGGGGACAUUGGGACUGCGGGACGGCGCAGACUGCUACGGGAGGCAGCGGGGGGGAGUAUUGCGCAAUGGGGCGAAGCGAGAUGCAGCAACGCCGCGUGCGGGAUGACGGCCUACGGGUGGUAAACCGAUGUGGACGGUGAUGAGGCGAGAGUGACGGUAAUGGGUAAAGAAGCACCGGCUAACUACGUG